This 796-nucleotide ribosomal RNA is filed under the name Eleutherodactylus parapelates. RNAcentral describes it as "partial 16S ribosomal RNA". It matches the Rfam family "Bacterial large subunit ribosomal RNA", at positions 1509 to 2528 of the family's 2925-position model. Lineage: Eukaryota; Metazoa; Chordata; Amphibia; Anura; Eleutherodactylidae. The record is from RNAcentral.
CGUCAAAGCUUUAUUAGUCGCAUAACAAAUCCCUAAAACAUUAAAGAACCCUACACUAGUACUGAAUGAUCCUAUACCACUAUAAGACCCUCUAUGUUAAAACUAGUAAUAAGAAACCACUUCUCUUACAAUGCAAGUGUAAAUCAUAACGGAACACCCACUGAUAACUAACAGCCAUAAACUAAAGUAAUACCAAACAAGAAAACUCUACUUAAUUAACUGUUAACCUUACACAAGUGCACCUAAAGAAAGAUUAAAAGAAAAGGAAGGAACUCGGCAAAUACUGAUUCCGCCUGUUUACCAAAAACAUCGCCUCUUGAUAACAUAUAAGAGGUCCAGCCUGCCCAGUGACCUAGUUCAACGGCCACGGUAUCCUAACCGUGCGAAGGUAGCAUAAUCACCUGUUUUUUAAUUGAAGACCAGUAUGAAAGGCACCACGAGAAUCCCGCUGUCUCCCUUGUCUAAUCAAUGAAACUAAUCCCCCCGUGAAAAAGCGGGGAUACUUUUACAAGACGAGAAGACCCUUUGGAGCUUAAGACAAUAGUACAAUUAUCGCUUAUUUACCUCUUACCUACCCCUAACAGCAUUUAUUUACAAGUCUUUGGUUGGGGCAACCCCGGAGUAAAAGACAACCUCCUAGAUGAAAAGAAACCUCUUAAACAAAAAGUUACAACUUUAUGUAUCAACAAAAUGACAUCAAUUGACCCAAUAUUUUGAUUAACGAACCAAGUUACCCCAGGGAUAACAGCGCAAUCCGCCUCAAGAGUUCAUAUCGACAGGUGGGCUUACGACCUCG